Molecule: non-coding RNA, 48 nt
Filed under: Trypanosoma brucei brucei
Lineage: Eukaryota; Euglenozoa; Kinetoplastea; Trypanosomatida; Trypanosomatidae
Source: RNAcentral
UAAACGUACAUAUUGUUUUCUCUGCUAAUAUAUGAAGUGAUAAUUUAU